This 4014-nucleotide long non-coding RNA is filed under the name Mus musculus (house mouse). Its description in RNAcentral is "long non-coding RNA chr3:75619346-75623360". Lineage: Eukaryota; Metazoa; Chordata; Mammalia; Rodentia; Muridae. The record is from RNAcentral.
GGCAUAGCACGCUGCUGGGGUCCAGAAAAAUCUCCUGCAGAUGUUUUUGAGUUUUAAGUGUUCUCUUCUUUUCUCCUCCUCUUAUUUCUCCUUCUUCAUCCUCCUUUCACACUUUUCUUCCUAUCUUCCCCUUGUUCAUCCUCCCUGUCCUCCACAUCUUCCUCUUCCAUCUCUUCUUCCCCCAUCUCCUCCAUCUUCUCUUUCUUCCUCCUCUCUCCCUCCUCUCCCCCCCUCCUCCUUAAUAUUCAUUAACGCAGGCAUGACCCUACCCAGAGAUGUCCAUCUACUCUCUGAUGUGUUCAGCACUAAAUGCUGUAUAUUGAUGAAGGUGAUUAUAGCUGGAAAGGAAAACCUCUGCCAUUAUUGGAAGUACUUCCAAACAAGCCACUGUAGUAGGUACUGAUAUACACUCAUGUAUAAACAAGAAACAAAUCUACUCGAAAACCUCCCUGUGGCAAAAGAGUAAGAUACAUUCAUGGGUUCACUACUGUGACUAUUGUUCUCUUCUUGACUGCAACUCAGGCCUCUCAGUGCAUCCAAAUUUAGCAGCAUGCUGUUUCCAUUUCCUGGUAGCUAUGCUGCAUUGACUUACAGCGCUCUUCUCCAGGUACUGUUUACACAGACGUGAUGGUCAGCCGUGCCAUUAGACCUCCCAGCCUUCCAUUGGCUAUGGGCUCACAAGCAUGAUGAAUAAUUUAAGCUAGAGAGAAAGAUAUGUUCAUUAAUAAUAUAUAUGUGUGUGUUUGUGUGUUUACAACACUACAGUUCUAGGACUCAUUUUAUAUUAAAAUUAUUCAAAUACAAGUUUGUAUAUAUACUGAAUGAUGAUGAAUAAAUUAAUACAUCUAGAUUAUUAAAUUUUAUUAAUUCAUAUACAUUCCAAUUUUAGGAGUUAAUAUUUAAAGGUUGCAUUUUAUGUAAAUGCAUACUUUGUCAAAAAACAUAGUUGAUGGUUUGCCUUUGUGAAUGAAAUAUAUAUGUGGACAUAUAUAUGUAUAUAUAUAUGCAUAUAUACAUAUGCAUAUAUAUAUAUAUGUGAAGACUGAAUAUGAAGACUAUAUAUAUACACAUACACAUAAAAUGUUUAUACUUUGUUAAAAUAUAAAAUUUGAUUUUAUAUACUUAUAAAGUAGGAUGUUUUGAACUGUAAUAUUUAAUUACAAAUAUUAAUAAUUGAAUCAAAAUAUUACCUAAAGCAUAAAGUUGUAAACCAUGUAACCCACGUUAAAAUUCAUCCAGUGAUUUUUUUUUCAUGAAUUUAAAUGUUUUUCCUGUAGGAAAUUCAUAAAUAAUACAACAAAUUCAAUACAGUGUUAGUGCUGCCAUUAUUAAAUUCCAUAAGCUCAGUGCAGUGUUUUCAUAAGUUCUAUGAAGAUAUAAAGUCACUUAGGGGUAUUUUAGCAGAAUUCUAAAUGAGCGCUUAAGAAAUAUUAUAUAUUCUAACUCAUCCACAUUCCCUAGAAAAUGGGUCCUCCAGGUUAUGUCCACUGAGAAACGGAAUAUGGCAGCAGAAGAAAAUUAACAUUUCAUUUUCUAAGAGUUAUUCUUCAAUUAUGAAGCAGUUUAGCUCACUUGCCUGUUACUAAAUUAGGCUCAGCUAAUUACCGUGUGUCCGUUUCCUCAGAAAUUUUAUAAACUUUUCCCUCUCUAUGGAUGAUGCUCGGAUUAGAAGCGGAAAUAGCUCCAUAAGAUAAAUUUAGGUUUUCUUUUGUAACAGAGUGACUGUGUUGAAACAGGUGUAUGUUCUAGUAAUCAGUGGUAAAGAUCCUCCACAUUCUGUAGAGUUAGCAUUUGAUGAAGGUGGUGGCUUCUGAGCCCCUAAGUGAGCAAAGGUAAAAAUGCUUCAAACAGCUAGGUUCUCAGCUUACUCGAGGAUAGGUUUAAUGUUUCAUGUUUUCAUGUGGAGAUAUUAUUCUAACAAUGAAAGCUUCGUUUUUAUAACUAUGUUUCUGUGCUACCAGGCUGGUACUUUUAAUUUCAUUCAUACUAGAGUUUCUACGGACAUUAUGAAAUACCAGCCGUCCAUCAAGGUUGUAGAGAAGAAGGCUGAGGCUGUGGCUUAGCUGACAGUGCUUGCUUAGCAUUCCUGAUGCUUUGCGAUCUCUUCCUAGCAUUGCAUGGGCUGGGCAUGGUGGCACAUGCUUUCAAACCCAGAAUUCCAGAGAUGGAGCUAAUGGAUCAGAAGUUCCAAGUCAUCUUCAGCGACAUAUUAAGUUCGAGGCCAGAGAUCUAUAGGGAAUUUAGAAAACUGUAGUCAAAAAGACCUCGGCUACUAUCCUCAUUUUUUCACCAUUAAUUUAGAGCAAGUGACUUAGGCUUGUUUUAUACUUUGUCUUGUUUUGUUUUGUUUGUUUGUUUGUUUUUUGUAGCCUAUAGAAAACAAUCCUUUGCUCUGGGGUUGUAUGACAUCAUGAUACAAAAUAGGGCAUGAUAUGUAAGAUGUGUUUAAGGGGGUGAUAGUAAUACAUAUUCUAAUAGUUUUUACCAAGAGGAGAGAGGUGAACACUAUUUUCAGUUGCUUGUAAGGGAAAAAAAAAACAGGAACAGACAACUGAAGAUUAUUGACAGCUUUUUUAUUAACAUUGAACAAAAAUCAUAGUAAAAGCUACAUAUUAGAUACUUUUGCGUUGAUAUAGGCUUUUGUAUUCAGGAUAUUUCAAACAUUAAAAUAAAGUAGAUCUGAACAAUUCUAUUUUCACAACAAAUAUUCAUAUUAUGGUAUUAACAACCAAUAGAAGUAAAAUUUAAAGGAAAACUGUAGUAAAUUUCAGUAUUUGGAUUAGUAUGUUUGAUAUAUAGAUACUUGUCUUUUAUUCUUUUUUUUUUUUUUUUGGAAACAUUAGCCUGCCAAAAUUAUUUUUCCCAGUAAUUCCUCUUCAUAUCUGAGUGUUAUUUCAAUAGUUAUUUCCUUCUAGUUCUUAAAAUGUCAGAAACUAGACUAAAAUAAUGGGCGGUUUUACUUGUCUCAUUUAAGACAUAAAUUGUUACCUAAAAAUUCAUGCACACCAUGUAUACUCAGCAAAAGGCAGCAUCGGAAAAAGAAAAACAUUUCUUCCUGACAUAUUCUUGUGUUUUUGCUUUUAAAGUAUUAAAAAUGUUUUCAUUUAUUAAAUUAAAAAGUGCAAGUAUGUUCACUCCAUUUCUCUUACUAGAGUGACAAAUCAUAUGACUCGUUGAUUUAGGGAGAGAUUGCAUUUCAACCAAAGAAACAAUUUAUAUAACGUUAACAUUUUAUUUAUGGCUAUGAUAAUUGUUUUACUUCUUUUUUACAAAAUUGUGCAUGAUAAUUUGAAUCAUUUGAAAAAUAAAAAAUCUUUUUUUGUUUUCAAAAGAUCAUCUGUAAUUGUACAAACUUACAGCUUUGAACACAUAAUAUUUACCUAAUUUCUAUUGAUAAAUAUUUUUUGUGAUGACAUCAUGAAAAUAUGCUUAUUUAUGUGCCAGAGUUAAGUAUAACCACAAUGAUGAUUUUUUUAUAGUAAGAAGUUUCAUGGAUUUGAAAUGCUUAUCUUAUUAAUUGUACAGUUAAUUUGACACUUUUUAAAAACUGUCCAUGUUAGGUGAGAGAUGGAGGGGCAGCAUCAAUAGGCCAGGUAGAUGGGUAGGGGUGAUGAAAUUAGCAGUUAAUUGUUAUCAGCUUGAAAAAUCAUGAUUACUACUUACUGUGUCACAAUAUUUUAAAAUUAUUGAUUCAAGGAUUUAAAAUUUUUUUUGUAUUUAGAGAAGGGUAAGGGGUGGCAAGUGCCUUUACCCACUGAGCCAACUCACCAGUCCUCAUUUGUGAGUUUUACAUAGGACUUAAUGAUACUGACCUCAACAUUCCUUUAAGCUCUCAUGUAUUAUAGUUCUGUGUCCAUAGCAAAUAUAAAUCCUACUGUGUUAUCUCACGCUCUUGAUCACUCCUCUUUUUUAUUGAAAACAAUAGUUUUUACAAUAUAUUCUCCUACCCUCAAUUCGUCCUAGACUCUCCUCAUCCCUCUAGCCACACAGCUCCACCCUCUCUCUAAAAAUCAC